This 65-nucleotide transfer RNA is filed under the name Dipodomys ordii (Ord's kangaroo rat). It matches the Rfam family "tRNA". From Rfam's summary of the family: Transfer RNA (tRNA) molecules are approximately 80 nucleotides in length. Their secondary structure includes four short double-helical elements and three loops (D, anti-codon, and T loops). The record is from Rfam by way of RNAcentral. Lineage: Eukaryota; Metazoa; Chordata; Mammalia; Rodentia; Heteromyidae.
GGUGGCUUGGUGGUAGAGUGCUUGCCUUGCAUGCAUGAGGCCCUGGGUUCAAUUCCUCAGCACCA